This 497-nucleotide ribosomal RNA is filed under the name uncultured bacterium. Its description in RNAcentral is "partial 16S ribosomal RNA". It matches the Rfam family "Bacterial small subunit ribosomal RNA", at positions 28 to 507 of the family's 1533-position model. The record is from RNAcentral.
GAUGAACGCUGGCGGCGUGCCUAAUACAUGCAAGUCGAGCGAACAGACGAGGAGCUUGCUCCUCUGACGUUAGCGGCGGACGGGUGAGUAACACGUGGAUAACCUACCUAUAAGACUGGGAUAACUUCGGGAAACCGGAGCUAAUACCGGAUAAUAUAUUGAACCGCAUGGUUCAAUAGUAAAAGACGGUUUUGCUGUCACUUAUAGAUGAAUCCGCGCCGCAUUAGCUAGUUGGUAAGGUAACGGCUUACCAAGGCAACGAUGCGUAGCCGACCUGAGAGGGUGAUCGGCCACACUGGAACUGAGACACGGUCCAGACUCCUACGGGAGGCAGCAGUAGGGAAUCUUCCGCAAUGGGCGAAAGCCUGACGGAGCAACGCCGCGUGAGUGAUGAAGGUCUUCGGAUCGUAAAACUCUGUUAUUAGGGAAGAACAAAUGUGUAAGUAACUAUGCACGUCUUGACGGUACCUAAUCAGAAAGCCACGGCUAACUACGUG